Molecule: long non-coding RNA, 364 nt
Organism: Lycium ferocissimum
Lineage: Eukaryota; Viridiplantae; Streptophyta; Magnoliopsida; Solanales; Solanaceae
Exons: 3
Source: RefSeq, a predicted model, not a curated record
CCACGUUCUCAAGGCAGCAGCCCUCUUUCUCUUAGGGUUUAUAAGUAUUCUUCUAACAUUUCUUACAAAACAGCCCCUAAAACCCCAUAAACUCUAGGUGAUUUACAUCCCUUUUCAAGUUGAUGUUGAAGGGAAUAUUAAAGCUUGUUAGAAUCUGAACCAAGAGAAAUAUUUCUACAGAAAAGGUCGAUUAACACUAGUAUGAUAAUCGUUUUGUGCGGAAGUGAACAUAUGUAGGAGCUGCUUUUGUUGUGAGUUGAUUGAGGACUUCUAAUCAAGGUUGAAGUAUUACGGGUAGUACACACACACACACACAUAUAUAUAUAGUGAGUCAUUGAUAAGCACAAAGGUAUGUAAAGUUAUC